UGGGGAAUAUUGCACAAUGGGCGCAAGCCUGAUGCAGCCAUGCCGCGUGUAUGAAGAAGGCCUUCGGGUUGUAAAGUACUUUCGGCGGGGAGGAAGGUGUUGUGGUUAAUAACCACAGCAAUUGACGUUACCCGCAGAAGAAGCACCGGCUAACUCCGUGCCAGCAGCCGCGGGAAUACGGAGGGUGCAAGCGUUAAUCGGAAUUAAUGGGCGUAAAGCGCACGCAGGCGGUCUGUCAAGUCGGAUGUGAAAUCCCCGGGCUCAACCUGGGAACUGCAUCCGAAACUGGCAGGCUUGAGUCUUGUAGAGGGGGGUAGAAUUCCAGGUGUAGCGGUGAAAUGCGUAGAGAUCUGGAGGAAUACCGGUGGCGAAGGCGGCCCCCUGGACAAAGACUGACGCUCAGGUGCGAAAGCGUGGGGAGCAAACA
This 427-nucleotide ribosomal RNA is filed under the name uncultured bacterium. RNAcentral's name for it is "partial 16S ribosomal RNA". It matches the Rfam family "Bacterial small subunit ribosomal RNA", at positions 355 to 774 of the family's 1533-position model. The record is from RNAcentral.